Molecule: ribosomal RNA, 436 nt
Filed under: uncultured bacterium
Lineage: Bacteria
Description: partial 16S ribosomal RNA
Rfam family: Bacterial small subunit ribosomal RNA
Source: RNAcentral
CGGGGCGCUCCAGCAGUGGGGAAUAUUGCACAAUGGGGGAAACCCUGAUGCAGCAACGCCGCGUGGAGGAUGACGCAUUUCGGUGUGUAAACUCCUUUUAUAUAGGAAGAUAAUGACGGUACUAUAUGAAUAAGCACCGGCUAACUCCGUGCCAGCAGCCGCGGUAAUACGGAGGGUGCAAGCGUUACUCGGAAUCACUGGGCGUAAAGCGCGCGCAGGCGGCCUUUUAAGUUGGAUGUGAAAGCCUAUGGCUUAAACAUAGAACUGCAUCCAAAACUAUCAGGCUAGAGUCUGGGAGGGGAAGAUGGAAUUAGUUGUGUAGGGGUAAAUCCGUAGAGAUAACUAGGAAUACCAAAAGCGAAGGCGAUCUUCUGGAACAGUACUGACGCUGAGACGCGAAAGCGUGGGGAGCAAACAGGAUUAGACCCGCGUAGUC